GAUGAACGCUGGCGGCGUGCCUAAUACAUGCAAGUCGAGCGAACAGAUGAGGAGCUUGCUCCUCUGACGUUAGCGGCGGACGGGUGAGUAACACGUGGAUAACCUACCUAUAAGACUGGGAUAACUUCGGGAAACCGGAGCUAAUACCGGAUAAUAUAUUGAACCGCAUGGUUCAAUAGUGAAAGACGGUUUUGCUGUCACUUAUAGAUGGAUCCGCGCCGCAUUAGCUAGUUGGUAAGGUAACGGCUUACCAAGGCAACGAUGCGUGGCCGACCUGCGAGGGUGAUCGGCCACACUGGAACUGAGACACGGUCCAGACUCCUACGGGAGGCAGCAGUAGGGAAUCUUCCGCAAUGGGCGAAAGCCUGACGGAGCAACGCCGCGUGAGUGAUGAAGGUCUUCGGAUCGUAAAACUCUGUUAUUAGGGAAGAACAAAUGUGUAAGUAACUAUGCACGUCUUGACGGUACCUAAUCAGAAAGCCACGGCUAACUACGUG
Molecule: ribosomal RNA, 497 nt
Filed under: uncultured bacterium
Lineage: Bacteria
Description: partial 16S ribosomal RNA
Rfam family: Bacterial small subunit ribosomal RNA
Source: RNAcentral